UAAGGUGAUAUGAACCGUUAUAACCGGCGAUUUCCGAAUGGGGAAACCCAGUGUGACUCGUCACACUAUCAUUAACUGAAUCCAUAGGUUAAUGAGGCGAACCGGGGGAACUGAAACAUCUAAGUACCCCGAGGAAAAGAAAUCAACCGAGAUUCCCCCAGUAGCGGCGAGCGAACGGGGAGGAGCCCAGAGCCUGAAUCAGCAUGUGUGUUAGUGGAAGCGUCUGGAAAGGCGCGCGAUACAGGGUGAC
Molecule: ribosomal RNA, 250 nt
Filed under: Salmonella enterica subsp. enterica serovar Poona
Lineage: Bacteria; Pseudomonadati; Pseudomonadota; Gammaproteobacteria; Enterobacterales; Enterobacteriaceae
Description: partial 23S ribosomal RNA
Rfam family: Bacterial large subunit ribosomal RNA
Source: RNAcentral